Carya illinoinensis is the source of this 741-nucleotide long non-coding RNA. RefSeq lists it as uncharacterized. The transcript is spliced from 2 exons. The record is from RefSeq and is a predicted model, not a curated record. Lineage: Eukaryota; Viridiplantae; Streptophyta; Magnoliopsida; Fagales; Juglandaceae.
GGGUUCUUUUUUUUUUUUUUUGUGCGUUUAGAUCUAGAUUGUUCUUUAGAGUAUAAUCUAAAACUGUUUAUUUGGUAUAUUUUUUGUUGUUUUUUCAUACUUUCAGAUGAACAUUAUUUUUUACGAUUUUUCAUUUCUUUUUUUCCUUUUAGAUCUGAACAUAUUUGUUUUUGUUUGAUUUUUUUUGUCGUGUUUUGUUCUUGUUUUUGUCUCGUUUUAUCUUGUUCUUAUUGUCUCCAAUUUUGUUGUUUGAAGUUUGAAAUUUUGAGAUCUGUACAACAACUAUUUGGUUUUUCACUUAUUUGGUUUUUCGGUUUUUUUUUUUUUUAAUUUUUUUAUCUGAUCGAAAUUUUUGGUUUGUUAUUUGGAUCUGUGGGUUUCUCGGUUGAAUCUAUUGUUUGUUGGGUGUCCCUCACAUCGCCGCUCACAUCCGCAGCAAAUGGCCACUCGUGGGAGCGCACGGCCACGCCGGAAGCACACAACAACAAAGCAGAAGAUGAAAUUUCAGAAGAUUGAAUUUGUAUAUGAUGCGUUAAAUUUUUUUGUUCGGUGUACUCUCUGUAAAUAAAGAUGUAAAUAUGCAAACAUAGUUUUUUUCUUUCGAUUUUUUUUUUUUGUUGUAAUACAUAUACAUAUCAUCUAAUUACAUAAUGUAACAAAUUCAUUCAUUCAUACAAGACAGUUAAUUUUUGCAAUAUACUGAGGAAAACAAUAAAAACGUACCUACAAUUCAAUUGCUGA